This 253-nucleotide ribosomal RNA is filed under the name uncultured Mucilaginibacter sp. Its description in RNAcentral is "partial 16S ribosomal RNA". It matches the Rfam family "Bacterial small subunit ribosomal RNA", at positions 524 to 776 of the family's 1533-position model. The record is from RNAcentral. Lineage: Bacteria; Pseudomonadati; Bacteroidota; Sphingobacteriia; Sphingobacteriales; Sphingobacteriaceae.
UACGGAGGAUCCAAGCGUUAUCCGGAUUUAUUGGGUUUAAAGGGUGCGUAGGCGGCCUUGUAAGUCAGGGGUGAAAGACGGCAGCUCAACUGUCGCAGUGCCUUUGAUACUGCAAGGCUUGAAUACACUUGAAGUAGGCGGAAUGUGACAAGUAGCGGUGAAAUGCAUAGAUAUGUCACAGAACACCGAUUGCGAAGGCAGCUUACUAAAGUGUGAUUGACGCUGAGGCACGAAAGCGUGGGGAUCAAACAGG